Molecule: ribosomal RNA, 476 nt
Filed under: uncultured bacterium
Lineage: Bacteria
Description: partial 16S ribosomal RNA
Rfam family: Bacterial small subunit ribosomal RNA
Source: RNAcentral
GAUUAACGCUGGCGGCGUGCAUAACACAUGCAAGUCGAACGAUGAAACUUAACUGAUUUCUUCGGAAUGAUUUUAAGUGGAUUAGUGGCGGACGGGUGAGUAACGCGUGAGUAACCUGCCUUGGAGAAGGGGAUAGCCUUUGGAAACGAAGAAUAAUACCCUAUGAUAUGAUAAUAUCUCAUGAUAUUAUCAUCAAAGAUUUAUCGCUCUAAGAUGGACUUGCGUCUGAUUAGUUAGUUGGUGAGGUAACAGCUCACCAAGGCAGCGAUCAGUAGCCGGCUUGAGGGAGUUGAGCGCCACAUUGGGACUGAGACACGGCCCAGACUCCUACGGGAGGGAGCAGUGGGGAAUUGUGCACAAUGGGGGAAACCGUGCUGCAGCGACGCCGCGUGAUGUAGAAGGCCUACGGGUUGUAAAAAUCUUUUGUAUGGGAAGAAAAUAACAGUCCCAGACGAAUAAGGACCGGCUAAUUACGU